GGGACGGUAGCUCAAUUGGUUAGAGCACCAGCCUGUCACGCUGGAGGUUGCGGGUUCGAUUCCCGUCCGUCUCGCCA
This 77-nucleotide transfer RNA is filed under the name Akkermansiaceae bacterium. RNAcentral's name for it is "tRNA-Asp". It matches the Rfam family "tRNA". From Rfam's summary of the family: Transfer RNA (tRNA) molecules are approximately 80 nucleotides in length. Their secondary structure includes four short double-helical elements and three loops (D, anti-codon, and T loops). Lineage: Bacteria; Pseudomonadati; Verrucomicrobiota; Verrucomicrobiia; Verrucomicrobiales; Akkermansiaceae. The record is from RNAcentral.